UACGUAGGGGGCGAGCGUUGUCCGGAUUUAUUGGGCGUAAAGAGCUCGUAGGCGGCUUGGCAAGUCGGGUGUGAAACCUCCAGGCUCAACCUGGAGACGCCACUCGAUACUGCCAUGGCUAGAGUCCGGUAGGGGACCACGGAAUUCCUGGUGUAGCGGUGAAAUGCGCAGAUAUCAGGAGGAACACCGGUGGCGAAGGCGGGUCUCUGGGCAACAACUGACGCUGAGGAGCGAAAGCGUGGGGAGCGAACAGG
RNAcentral lists this ribosomal RNA (254 nucleotides) under uncultured bacterium. RNAcentral describes it as "partial 16S ribosomal RNA". It matches the Rfam family "Bacterial small subunit ribosomal RNA", at positions 524 to 776 of the family's 1533-position model. The record is from RNAcentral.